GUGCUCAUCUAGACAGCACAUUUGCUAACCUUGGCAUGAUAUGGAGACUAGCAUGGCCCUCUGAGCAAGGAUGACAUGCAGAUUCAUGAAGCGUUCCUUAUUUUU
Molecule: small nuclear RNA, 105 nt
Filed under: Microcebus murinus (gray mouse lemur)
Lineage: Eukaryota; Metazoa; Chordata; Mammalia; Primates; Cheirogaleidae
Source: RNAcentral